Molecule: ribosomal RNA, 403 nt
Filed under: Candidatus Phytoplasma solani
Lineage: Bacteria; Bacillati; Mycoplasmatota; Mollicutes; Acholeplasmatales; Acholeplasmataceae
Description: bacterial SSU rRNA
Rfam family: Bacterial small subunit ribosomal RNA
Source: RNAcentral
CUUUAGCAAGACUGCCAAUGAUAAAUUGGAGGAAGGUGGGGACGACGUCAAAUCAUCAUGCCCCUUAUGACCUGGGCUACAAACGUGAUACAAUGGCUGUUACAAAGGGUAGCUAAAGCGUAAGCUUCUGGCGAAUCUCAAAAAAGCAGUCUCAGUUCGGAUUGAAGUCUGCAACUCGACUUCAUGAAGUUGGAAUCGCUAGUAAUCGCGAAUCAGCAUGUCGCGGUGAAUACGUUCUCGGGGUUUGUACACACCGCCCGUCAAACCACGAAAGUUGGCAAUACCCAAAGCCGGUGGCCUAACUUGAGCAAUCAAGAAGGAGCCGUCUAAGGUAGGGUUGAUGAUUGGGGUUAAGUCGUAACAAGGUAUCCCUACCGGAAGGUGGGGAUGGAUCACCUCCUUU